AAGCAGUAAUUGAAAGCACUAUGUUCAUGAAGGUGGUUUUCCCAGGUAAGGAUUAUCCACUGCACUCCAGAUAUGCCAAGCUCUGUGAUUCUUCCAAAUGUGGGAAACUCCAUAAUUUGUGGUAGUGGGUACUGCAUUUGCACUUUUCUU
Small nuclear RNA from Dipodomys ordii (Ord's kangaroo rat), 150 nucleotides. Its record names the gene U1. It matches the Rfam family "U1 spliceosomal RNA". From Rfam's summary of the family: U1 is a small nuclear RNA (snRNA) component of the spliceosome (involved in pre-mRNA splicing). Its 5' end forms complementary base pairs with the 5' splice junction, thus defining the 5' donor site of an intron. The record is from Ensembl. NCBI's taxonomy places the organism in Eukaryota, Metazoa, Chordata, Mammalia, Rodentia, Heteromyidae.